RNAcentral lists this ribosomal RNA (272 nucleotides) under Clostridioides difficile. RNAcentral describes it as "partial 23S ribosomal RNA". It matches the Rfam family "Bacterial large subunit ribosomal RNA", at positions 2651 to 2925 of the family's 2925-position model. The record is from RNAcentral. Lineage: Bacteria; Bacillati; Bacillota; Clostridia; Peptostreptococcales; Peptostreptococcaceae.
GCGUAGGAAAUUUGAGAAGACCUGUCCUUAGUACGAGAGGACCGGGAUGGACGUACCUCUGGUGUACCAGUUGUUCUGCCAAGGGCAUGGCUGGGUAGCUAUGUACGGAAUGGAUAAGCGCUGAAAGCAUCUAAGCGCGAAGCCAACUUCAAGAUAAGAUUUCCCACCGCAAGGGUAAGACUCCAGAAAGACUAUCUGGUUGAUAGGUCGAAGGUGUAAGUGCAGCAAUGUAUUUAGCUUAUCGAUACUAAUAGGUCGAGGACUUGACCAAU